RNAcentral lists this transfer RNA (73 nucleotides) under Zingiber officinale. It matches the Rfam family "tRNA". From Rfam's summary of the family: Transfer RNA (tRNA) molecules are approximately 80 nucleotides in length. Their secondary structure includes four short double-helical elements and three loops (D, anti-codon, and T loops). Lineage: Eukaryota; Viridiplantae; Streptophyta; Magnoliopsida; Zingiberales; Zingiberaceae. The record is from Rfam by way of RNAcentral.
AUGGGGAUGUCUUAGUUGGGAGAGUGUCAGAUUGAAGAUUUGAAGGUCGUGUGUUCGAUUCAUGCUCAGCAGA